AACGCAUCUUGCGCUCCUUGGUAUUCCGAGGAGCAUGCCUGUUUGAGUGUCGUGUAACCUCUCAAUCUCCCCCUUUUCUUGCUUCACUGCUCGAAUCGGUUUGGGCCAGAUUGGAUCGUGGCCGCUGCCGUCCCCUUUUGCGGGACAGCUCGGUCGAAAUGCAGACAAGUGACGACCGCUCGUGUUGAUCGGCUUGAACUCGACGUUGUAAUUUCUCCCUCGUUGAGCUACGAUCUUCGCGGAUCUUUCAAGGUCACACUUCGAAACGACCUCUUUAUAUUUGAGCAAUAUUGACCUCAAAUCAGGCAGGACUACCCGCUGAACUUAA
RNAcentral lists this unclassified non-coding RNA (328 nucleotides) under uncultured fungus. RNAcentral describes it as "partial contains 5.8S ribosomal RNA, internal transcribed spacer 2, and large subunit ribosomal RNA". The stretch from base 1 to 52 matches the Rfam family "5.8S ribosomal RNA", at positions 103 to 154 of the family's 154-position model. The record is from RNAcentral. Lineage: Eukaryota; Fungi.